AGUGAACGCCGGCGGCAUGCUUAACACAUGCAAGUCGCGCGCCUCGCAAGGGGAGCGGCGGACGGGUGAGUAACGCGUAGGAAUGUGUCCAGAGGUGGGGGACAACCCCGGGAAACUGGGGCUAAUACCGCAUAUGUCCUGAGGGACAAAGCAGUAAUGCGCCUUUGGAGCAGCCUGCGUCCGAUUAGGUAGUUGGUGGGGUAAUGGCCUACCAAGCCUGCGAUCGGUAGCUGGUCUGAGAGGAUGAUCAGCCACACUGGGACUGAGACACGGCCCAGACUCCUACGGGAGGCAGCAGUGGGGAAUAUUGGACAAUGGGCGCAAGCCUGAUCCAGCAAUGCCGCGUGGGUGAAGAAGGUCUUCGGAUCGUAAAGCCCUUUCGACAGGGACGAUGAUGACGGUACCUGUAGAAGAAGCCCCGGCUAACUUCGUGCCAGCCGCCGCCGUAA
RNAcentral lists this ribosomal RNA (449 nucleotides) under uncultured bacterium. RNAcentral's name for it is "partial 16S ribosomal RNA". It matches the Rfam family "Bacterial small subunit ribosomal RNA", at positions 29 to 523 of the family's 1533-position model. The record is from RNAcentral.